CCUACGGGAGGCAGCAGUGAGGAAUAUUGGUCAAUGGACGAGAGUCUGAACCAGCCAAGUAGCGUGAAGGAUGACUGCCCUAUGGGUGGUAAACUUCUUUUAUAAAGGAAUAAAACGAGGCACGUGUGCCUUUUUGCAUGUACUUUAUGAAUAAGGAUCGGAUAACUCCGUGCCAGCAGCCGCGGUAAUACGGAGGAUCCGAGCGUUAUCCGGAUUUAUUGGGUUUAAAGGGAGCGUAGAUGGGUUGUUAAGUCAGUUGUGAAAGUGUGCGGCUCAACCGUAAAAUUGCAAUUGAUACUGGCAGUCUUGAGUACAGUUGAGGUAGGUGGAAUUCGUGGUGUAGCGGUGAAAUGCUUAGAUAUCACGAAGAACCCCGAUUGCGAAGGCAGCUUACUAAACUGUGACUGACAUUGAUGCUCGAAAGUGUGGGUAUCAAACAGGAUUAGAUACCCUGGUAGUC
Molecule: ribosomal RNA, 460 nt
Filed under: uncultured bacterium
Lineage: Bacteria
Description: partial 16S ribosomal RNA
Rfam family: Bacterial small subunit ribosomal RNA
Source: RNAcentral